GUCAGCGACUUAUAUUCUGUAGCAAGGUUAACCGUAUAGGGGAGCCGGAGGGAAACCGAGUCUUAAUUGGGCGUUAAGUUGCAGGGUAUAGACCCGAAACCCGGUGAUCUAGCCAUGGGCAGGUUGAAGGUUGGGUAACACUAACUGGAGGACCGAACCGACUAAUGUUGAAAAAUUAGCGGAUGACCUGUGGCUGGGGGUGAAAGGCCAAUCAAACCGGGAGAUAGCUGGUUCUCCCCGAAAGCUAUUUAGGUAGCGCCUCGUGAAUUCAUCUCCGGGGGUAGAGCACUGUUUCGGCUAGGGGGCCAUCCCGGCUUACCAACCCGAUGCAAACUGCGAAUACCGGAGAAUGUUAUCACGGGAGACACACGGCGGGUGCUAACGUCCGUCGUGAAGAGGGAAACAACCCAGACCGCCAGCUAAGGUCCCAAAGUCAUGGUUAAGUGGGAAACGAUGUGGGAAGGCCCAGACAGCCAGGAUGUUGGCUUAGAAGCAGCCAUCAUUUAAAGAAAGCGUAAUAGCUCACUGGUCGAGUCGGCCUGCGCGGAAGAUGUAACGGGGCUAAACCAUGCACCGAAGCUGCGGCAGCGANNUGCUGGAGGUAUCAGAAGUGCGAAUGCUGACAUAAGUAACGAUAAAGCGGGUGAAAAGCCCGCUCGCCGGAAGACCAAGGGUUCCUGUCCAACGUUAAUCGGGGCAGGGUGAGUCGACCCCUAAGGCGAGGCCGAAAGGCGUAGUCGAUGGGAAACGGGUUAAUAUUCCCGUACUUGGUGUUACUGCGAAGGGGGGACGGAGAAGGCUAUGUUGGCCGGGCGACGGUUGUCCCGGUUUAAGCGUGUAGGUGUGUGUUCCAGGUAAAUCCGGUUCACUUUAACACUGAGGCGUGACGACGAGGCACUACGGUGCUGAAGCAACAAAUGCCCUGCUUCCAGGAAAAGCCUCUAAGCAUCAGGUAACAUCAAAUCGUACCCCAAACCGACACAGGUGGUCAGGUAGAGAAUACCAAGGCGCUUGAGAGAACUCGGGUGAAGGAACUAGGCAAAAUGGUGCCGUAACUUCGGGAGAAGGCACGCUGACACGUAGGUGAAGUGAUUUACUCAUGGAGCUGAAGUCAGUCGAAGAUACCAGCUGGCUGCAACUGUUUAUUAAAAACACAGCACUGUGCAAACACGAAAGUGGACGUAUACGGUGUGACGCCUGCCCGGUGCCGGAAGGUUAAUUGAUGGGGUCAGCGCAAGCGAAGCUCCUGAUCGAAGCCCCGGUAAACGGCGGCCGUAACUAUAACGGUCCUAAGGUAGCGAAAUUCCUUGUCGGGUAAGUUCCGACCUGCACGAAUGGCGUAAUGAUGGCCAGGCUGUCUCCACCCGAGACUCAGUGAAAUUGAACUCGCUGUGAAGAUGCAGUGUACCCGCGGCAAGACGGAAAGACCCCGUGAACCUUUACUAUAGCUUGACACUGAACAUUGAGCCUUGAUGUGUAGGAUAGGUGGGAGGCUUUGAAGUGUGGACGCCAGUCUGCAUGGAGCCGACCUUGAAAUACCACCCUUUAAUGUUUGAUGUUCUAACGUGGACCCGUAAUCCGGGUUGCGGACAGUGUCUGGUGGGUAGUUUGACUGGGGCGGUCUCCUCCUAAAGAGUAACGGAGGAGCACGAAGGUUGGCUAAUCCUGGUCGGACAUCAGGAGGUUAGUGCAAUGGCAUAAGCCAGCUUGACUGCGAGCGUGACGGCGCGAGCAGGUGCGAAAGCAGGUCAUAGUGAUCCGGUGGUUCUGAAUGGAAGGGCCAUCGCUCAACGGAUAAAAGGUACUCCGGGGAUAACAGGCUGAUACCGCCCAAGAGUUCAUAUCGACGGCGGUGUUUGGCACCUCGAUGUCGGCUCAUCACAUCCUGGGGCUGAAGUAGGUCCCAAGGGUAUGGCUGUUCGCCAUUUAAAGUGGUACGCGAGCUGGGUUUAGAACGUCGUGAGACAGUUCGGUCCCUAUCUGCCGUGGGCGCUGGAGAACUGAGGGGGGCUGCUCCUAGUACGAGAGGACCGGAGUGGACGCAUCACUGGUGUUCGGGUUGUCAUGCCAAUGGCACUGCCCGGUAGCUAAAUGCGGAAGAGAUAAGUGCUGAAAGCAUCUAAGCACGAAACUUGCCCCGAGAUGAGUUCUCCCUGAGACUUAGAGUCUCCUGAAGGAACGUUGAAGACGACGACGUUGAUAGGCCGGGUGUGUAAGCGCAGCGAUGCGUUGAGCUAACCGGUACUAAUGAACCGUGAGGCUUAACCUUACAACGCCGAAG
RNAcentral lists this ribosomal RNA (2281 nucleotides) under Salmonella enterica subsp. enterica serovar Typhimurium. RNAcentral's name for it is "partial 23S ribosomal RNA". It matches the Rfam family "Bacterial large subunit ribosomal RNA", at positions 619 to 2925 of the family's 2925-position model. The record is from RNAcentral. Lineage: Bacteria; Pseudomonadati; Pseudomonadota; Gammaproteobacteria; Enterobacterales; Enterobacteriaceae.